This 315-nucleotide ribosomal RNA is filed under the name uncultured bacterium. RNAcentral's name for it is "bacterial SSU rRNA". It matches the Rfam family "Bacterial small subunit ribosomal RNA", at positions 28 to 334 of the family's 1533-position model. The record is from RNAcentral.
GACGAACGCUGGCGGCGCGCCUAACACAUGCAAGUCGAACGGAGUUGUGUUGAAAGCUUGCUGGAUAUACAACUUAGUGGCGGACGGGUGAGUAACACGUGAGUAACCUGCCUCUCAGAGUGGAAUAACGUUUGGAAACGAACGCUAAUACCGCAUAACGUGAGAAGAGGGCAUCCUCUUUUUACCAAAGAUUUAUCGCUGAAAGAUGGUCUCGCGUCUGAUUAGCUAGUUGGUGAGGUAACGGCUCACCAAGGCGACGAUCAGUAGCCGGUCUGAGAGGAUGAACGGCCACAUUGGGACUGAGAUACGGCCCAG